Molecule: RNA transcript, 1720 nt
Organism: Elaeis guineensis (African oil palm)
Lineage: Eukaryota; Viridiplantae; Streptophyta; Magnoliopsida; Arecales; Arecaceae
Gene name: putative threonine aspartase
Source: RefSeq, a predicted model, not a curated record
GCAGCUGGAUGCAUUCAUCGACAGGACCAUUCAUCCCCUCCGUUAUUGUACCGCCACGCAUAAGACGUUAGAAGGGUUUAAAUGGUGACCUGGAGCGCUUUUUCUCCCCACGAAACUAAGCUGGCGACAUUAGCAACUAAAAUCCUCCUAUAAAUAUCCCAAGAAUGCUCCGGAAGUCCUCCCAAAAUACGCACGAAGGCGGUACCCUCUCCUUUCAGGUGUUCACAGAGGUGGCGAAAACCCUAGAAAUGGAGGGCGAUGGCGAAGCAAACGCUGGAAGGUUCUUCGUCGCCGUUCAUGUGGGAGCGGGCUUCCAUUCCCCUUCCAACGAGAAGGCCUUCAGAAAAGCCAUGAAGCGAGCCUGCCUCGCCGCCGCCGCCGUUCUUCGAAAGGAUGAUGGUGGAUGCUUAGAUGCUGUUUCAGCUGCCAUUCAAGUGUUGGAGGAUGAUCCAAUCACAAAUGCAGGUCAAGGUUCAAAUUUGACAGAGUCGGGCCAUGUCGAAUGCGAUGCAAGUAUCAUGGAUGGUUGUUCUGGAGCAUUUGGAGCUGUUGGAGCUGUACGAGGUGUACGAAAUGCCAUCCAAAUUGCUGCACACUUGGCCAAAGAGCAAAUAGCAGGAUCUUCCCUGCUUGGUCGAAUACCUCCACUGUUCUUGGUUGGUGAAGGUGCUCGUGAAUGGGGAAAAUCCAAGGGCAUCAUCAUGCCAGCCACUGUUUCAGAAAUAGAAGAAUGGCUGGUGACAGAGAGGGCUAAAACACAAUGGAUGAAAUAUAAAGCGAUGCUUGCUGAUGCUAAGGGAUGGAGUGAAUCUUCUACUGCACAGACUACAUCUACCUCUGGAUCAUCUGCAGUGUCAUUGGAGAAACCAGCGAUAGAAGCUCAACGUUUAAUUGGUGGAAAGAAGAAUAAAGCUUCGCAUGGACAACCAUCUGCGAAAGAUGAUAUCAAAGAAGAUUGCAUUAUGGAUACUGUGGGAGUAAUCUGUAUUGAUAGCUCUGGUCGUGUAGCAUCAGGGGCAUCAAGUGGUGGUAUUGCAUUGAAGGUUGAUGGACGGGUUGGAUUGGCAGCAAUGUAUGGUUCAGGUUGCUGGGCUUCAUCCAGAGAUCCCUAUGGAGCUCCAUUCAUAGUUGGUUGCUGUGCAACUGGUGCUGGGGAGUACUUAAUAAAAGGAUUCGCAGCACGUGAAUGCUGUGUGUCAUCAUCAUUGUUUUCUUCGUCUGUUCAGAUCACAGUCAGGUCCUGCUUCUGCAUGUACAAAACUUCUGCGUUCUGUUGUUCAGAAUAGCAAUCAGAAGUCCCAUGAUACAGGUGCUGGGGUGUUACUAGUGCAGGCUGACACUCUGAAGGUUACUCAAAGCUCUCCACCAGAAGCAGUUGAGCUCGUUGCUGCCUACUGCUCUUCAUCCUUUGGCAUAGGCUAUUUUGGGAACUCCAUGGAUUGUCCAAAGGUAUCAAUACUUAGAGGUGCAGGGUAUAGGAACAGCAACGACAUCAAUCAUUUUGGUGCACGCGUUGUUCUCAAUUCUUUUAAAUCCUCAUGAAAGCAAGAUGCAGUAAUAUUUAGAUUAGUUUGUAUUUAGCUUUCUCCAUUCAUUAAACAGAAAUAUUUAUGUCAUGUAAUACCUCUGCUGUCAUAUGUCACUGGAGAGAAUCUUCGUGGUAUCUAGUUGAACCGUAAUUCCAUGUGUAGUCUUGUGCUACUAUUUUUUUCUUCAGGCA